This 263-nucleotide unclassified non-coding RNA is filed under the name plant metagenome. RNAcentral describes it as "partial contains small subunit ribosomal RNA, internal transcribed spacer 1, and 5.8S ribosomal RNA". The record is from RNAcentral.
UUUCCGUAGGUGAACCUGCGGAAGGAUCAUUCAUAAUAAGUGUUUUUAUGGCACUUUAAAAUCCAUAUCCACCUUGUGUGCAACGUAUUGUGGUCUUUUUAUCAUUUCGCCGGCUACACAAUUUCUGUUCUACAGCCACGGUAGGCGGUAUAAUGAGGUGUGUUAUCUCUUAACUCUUCACCUUUAACUAAUUUGUCUGAAAGUCUAUUACGAUUAAACUUUCAAACUAAAUACAACUUUCAACAACGGAUCUCUUGGCUCUC